UGCCUGCAGUCCUGCUGCCUACUGGUGCCGACCGACUGUUUAUUUCCCAUCAUCCCACCUGCUCUCCGCAGGAGGCACUUUAUCUCCGAGAGAAAAAAACACACAACUGCUGUUACCGAGUGCCGCUAUCAGUCCAUCCCCAAGGUCGAGCCUCACGGCGACACGUCAACAGCGAGCCGCUCUUGUGUUUGUUUUCUGUCGCUCGGUCUAGAAGGUUCCUUGAGCAGACAGACUGGAGCAGCACCUCACGGCCCCAGGUUCGAUUCAGUCAUCGGGAUUCAGAGACGAUCCCAGCGCUCACAGAACUUUCUCAGGUUCUCCGUCUCCUCCGCCGGACCGCGACUCCGAACCCCUCGUGUUGAUCCUCCAGAAGGUCUCAGCCAAGCCUCCCGGUGUGACCUUCUUCCCGACUUCCGCCCAGUGUCCAGACCCGGUUCGGUCCACCUCGGUCCUGGGGACGAUCCGCCGCCCCGCGCUCAGGCUCGCCGCUCCGCUCCGGGACCCAUCAUCAUCAUCAUCAUCAUCAUCAUGCCAGGUGCGGCAGCCCGGGCCGUGGCGCGAGAGCGAGAGGUGACCCACGCUACGCGCAGGACACAGAGCGGCAGUCACGAGGAGGAGGCAGGAACGCGGCACGCCGCGAGUGAGGUGGAGGAGCGCGAGGGAGGGAGCGGUGAGCGCGCGCGAGCCGCCGGCUGCUGGACGGAGACGCCGCUGAGUCCGCGAUCAGACUCAGGGACACCGCGGCACCUCUUGCUCCCGCCACAUGGCUCUCUCUCUGACCUGGCUGGGAUGGAUGAUGAGGAUGAUGACGAUGAGGAUGAGGAGGAUGAUGCCCGAUCUUCAGGCUGCGAGAGGAAGAAGAAGAAGAACAGCGCAAGUGGUUGUGUCGAGUCCCUCGCCUCGUGCCCGACUUUCGCCGGGGGCUGCGAUCCAACGCGUGUCAGCGGAGCGGAGGUGGGACAGAUUCGCCCCCGCGCGCGCGUGUGCGCGUGUGUGUGUCGAGACUGCGAUAGGAGGAAGCCGGACUCUUUGUUGGAGGAGAUCUGAUCCUCGCGCUGAACACCCAGUCGUGCAGGUAACACACACACGCACACGGUCUCGCUCUCUCUCUCUGCCUCCCGGACCGGCCACCAACUGAACACUCCGCUGAGCUGCUAGCUCUGCGUGUGUGUGUGUGGCUUCCCGAAGCUCCGCCCGCGCUCGCGCAGUCAGCCGACGGACAAGGCGUGUGUGUGUGUGUGUGUGUGUGUGUGUCUUUCUAGGUCUUCCACCGGAUGAUCAGGACCAGACACACACGUAUCAGUUUUGAUCACUUUACUGUUGCAGUGUGGUAAUGUUCGUUUUACCACAUUAAACCAUAGUUAAUGUUUUAGAAUUUUACCCUGUUACAGUGUCACACUGUUUAAGUGCCACAUGUGCUGCGAUCGUGUUACACUUUCACAGUGUUGGUGCUACAGUUACAGUGUUAUAGUUUUGCAAUAUUACAGUGUCACCCUGCUACAGUAUGACGGUGUUGGUGUUGCCAUGCUAUAAAUCACCGUUUUACAACACACACACACACACACACACACACACAGACACACACACUGGCUGAAGCCACCACACCCCCCAGUGUUACAGUAUCACAUACAUAUUACCGUGUUUCAGUGUCAGUGUUACAGUGUCUGUCAUACAGUGUUUAGUGUUACCGUGUCUUGUUAUUAUGAGAACAUUAGUGUUGUAGUGCUAACAUAUAGUACAUUUAAAGUGUUAAAACAUUACAGUGUUACCAUGUGCAGUGUUACCAUGUUUUACCAUAGGCUUUCUGCUAUUGCUGAAAGCCUCGCUGCACUGAGUCCCACACUGGAGCAGUGACUCACACCAGCUUCCUUGUUAGAAGUGGAGAAGAGGAUUGUGUGAGGAGCUCUACACUGUGCCCGUGUGUGUGUGUGUGUGUUUGUGUGUGUGUGUGUGUGUGUGUGUGUGUGUGUGUGUGUGUGUGUGUGUGUGUGGGAGGGCUCUGAGUGCUCCAGCCCCUCCCUGAGCCCUGUGAUCACACAGGAACAAA
This 2047-nucleotide long non-coding RNA is filed under the name Scleropages formosus (Asian bonytongue). RNAcentral's name for it is "lncRNA (ENSSFOG00015029156.1)". Lineage: Eukaryota; Metazoa; Chordata; Actinopteri; Osteoglossiformes; Osteoglossidae. The record is from RNAcentral.